RNAcentral lists this ribosomal RNA (273 nucleotides) under uncultured Acinetobacter sp. RNAcentral's name for it is "partial 16S ribosomal RNA". It matches the Rfam family "Bacterial small subunit ribosomal RNA", at positions 524 to 796 of the family's 1533-position model. Lineage: Bacteria; Pseudomonadati; Pseudomonadota; Gammaproteobacteria; Moraxellales; Moraxellaceae. The record is from RNAcentral.
UACAGAGGGUGCGAGCGUUAAUCGGAUUUACUGGGCGUAAAGCGCGCGUAGGUGGUUAAUUAAGUCAAAUGUGAAAUCCCCGAGCUUAACUUGGGAAUUGCAUUCGAUACUGGUUAGCUAGAGUAUGGGAGAGGAUGGUAGAAUUCCAGGUGUAGCGGUGAAAUGCGUAGAGAUCUGGAGGAAUACCGAUGGCGAAGGCAGCCAUCUGGCCUAAUACUGACACUGAGGUGCGAAAGCAUGGGGAGCAAACAGUAUUAGAUACCCGAGUAGUCC